ACUCUGCUCCCUGAUUUCCCUUUGCUAAUGGUGAGAGACCAAAGAAGCAUAGGAGCCUUUUUGUCUGCUUGCCAUGAAAAUGAAAUUGACUUUGGGAGGCUUCUGAGCUUUACAAAAUUAAAAUGAAAAAGGAUUGGUACUAUGGAGUGAAAUGUAUCCUAUUACCAGGACAUCUUGCUUUAUUCUAAGAAAGCACUGGAGAAGGUUGCAGGAUGUCCCUAUAACCUGAGAAACAUUCUUCAGCAUCCCUGACCAAAGGAGAACAUCUGUAGAUAUUAGAU
Anolis carolinensis (green anole) is the source of this 281-nucleotide long non-coding RNA. RefSeq lists it as uncharacterized. The transcript is spliced from 3 exons. The record is from RefSeq and is a predicted model, not a curated record. Lineage: Eukaryota; Metazoa; Chordata; Lepidosauria; Squamata; Anolidae.